This 790-nucleotide ribosomal RNA is filed under the name Kocuria sp. MJ423. RNAcentral describes it as "bacterial SSU rRNA". It matches the Rfam family "Bacterial small subunit ribosomal RNA", at positions 67 to 866 of the family's 1533-position model. Lineage: Bacteria; Bacillati; Actinomycetota; Actinomycetes; Micrococcales; Micrococcaceae. The record is from RNAcentral.
CGAUGAUGCCCAGCUUGCUGGGCGGAUUAGUGGCGAACGGGUGAGUAAUACGUGAGUAACCUGCCCUUGACUCUGGGAUAAGCCUGGGAAACUGGGUCUAAUACUGGAUACUACCUCUUACCGCAUGGUGGGUGGUGGAAAGGGUUUUACUGGUUUUGGAUGGGCUCACGGCCUAUCAGCUUGUUGGUGGGGUAAUGGCUCACCAAGGCGACGACGGGUAGCCGGCCUGAGAGGGUGACCGGCCACACUGGGACUGAGACACGGCCCAGACUCCUACGGGAGGCAGCAGUGGGGAAUAUUGCACAAUGGGCGGAAGCCUGAUGCAGCGACGCCGCGUGAGGGAUGACGGCCUUCGGGUUGUAAACCUCUUUCAGUAGGGAAGAAGCGAGAGUGACGGUACCUGCAGAAGAAGCGCCGGCUAACUACGUGCCAGCAGCCGCGGUAAUACGUAGGGCGCAAGCGUUGUCCGGAAUUAUUGGGCGUAAAGAGCUCGUAGGCGGUUUGUCGCGUCUGCUGUGAAAGCCCGGGGCUCAACCCCGGGUCUGCAGUGGGUACGGGCAGACUAGAGUGCAGUAGGGGAGACUGGAAUUCCUGGUGUAGCGGUGAAAUGCGCAGAUAUCAGGAGGAACACCGAUGGCGAAGGCAGGUCUCUGGGCUGUUACUGACGCUGAGGAGCGAAAGCAUGGGGAGCGAACAGGAUUAGAUACCCUGGUAGUCCAUGCCGUAAACGUUGGGCACUAGGUGUGGGGGACAUUCCACGUUUUCCGCGCCGUAGCUAACGCAUUAAGUG